AGAGGAAAUAUAUUAUCUAGAGUCCCGACCGGUACCCGUCCUACCUGAAACACCCUCAAAUUUUAUUCGAGGUGAACUCUCCCAAAUUCGAGGUGAACUCUCACAAAUUCUCUAUCGGUGAAUACAUGUGAGUGGAGAAAAAAAAAGCAAAAUGGGGGAUUGGGCUAAAAAGAAACUUAUGGAAUUUUUGUGACCUGUCAAAAAUGACAAUCAAUUUUGCAAAACAAAACAAUGGGUUUCGGACUUUAAGAACCAAAUUUCUUUAUAAUGAAGAGGGUGUAUACAAGUUCACUUCAUUGAAUAAAAAAUAUUGCCAAAAUGCAGGAAGCAAUUUCCUUUAAGUAAUUUGGAAAGCAAACCAAACAAGGCGCUGAUUUGCAGAUGCUGCCCAUUGUUUUUGUAUGUACUUCUCAAUCAAGAGCUGCCGCAGGCGUUGACGGCGGAGGUGUCACCAUCAAAACCAUUAGAAACACCACCAAGUCAAUGAGGCAAGUGGAAGUUUUGCCAUGUAAUAGUCGACCGCUGACGCCCUUCUCCAUCAAUUGUGUAAGUACGUAUCGAAACAUUCAUAUCGUAGUCAACUAGCUAAAUCUUCAUCUUCUAGGUGUAUAGAGUACCUAUACUACCAGUCUGCAGUUCUGCAAGAGACGCAAGAAAAACAAGAAUACAAUCGCAGGAAUACUCAAAAAUUGUCCAACCUUGACUGUAAGAGAGUUCAAAUUUUAAAUCUGCAACGAAUCCAUUUAUUCCUAAGAAUCGCACUGGCUUAACGGUGGCAAUCAUUCAGAGGCAAAUGAGCUGGCCUGACAAGAAUCCCCAAGAAGCCAAAAAGAUUCAGAUCAGUCUCUCGGCAGCUACUGACGAUGUCGGCGAGUGGAAUCCAUCAAUUUUCACACAGAAAAUCAACAUCAGAAAAAUCACGACAAUGCAGCAGCGUCAUGGUCAACCUGCCGAUCAAAUAUUCACAGUGAACAACUUCUACUGUAGCGGAAGCGAUCUCUGCGUUAUCGACAAUGCGAACACAAUGUCAUCAAGCCGGAGUACCAACCGGGGCUCUUGCAUUGCAACAGUGCGCGAACAUCAGUGUAAAUGCGAGGCAGCGGCUACUGCUGCCGCCGAAGCUGACACCGCCUACAUAGAAGAGGUAGGUGAUACGAAUGCCGCUUUAGAAGGAACUUGUUGCUAUAAUAUAGUAGGUCCUAAAUGACGGGAGUCGAAAAUCAUUGAAACUUAAAUGCUGACAAAAUAGAAGCUGAAUUAAAGGAAUUCUUAAUGCCUAUUGAAUCACCAAAGCUUCUGUUUAGAAGUAACUGGCAUCGAUACAAGAAUGCCCCUACCAACUGCCCUAAUGAUGUUCCAAGAGUUGCUGGGGAAAUGGUAUUGAGCCAGGUACCUAUAAAAGAGCCAGGUAGUUAUUUCGAAGCAUUCAAAUAAGGAUUUACAUGUGAUGGAUUGUAGACAUUCAGCGCUUAGUAAUAAAAUAUGACAACUUCUCGCAAACUAAAUCACAGAGCAACUUUAAAGAAAGUAAAAAAUAUAAAGCAAUGCUCCUGGACACAAAAAUUGCGUCUAGCACUUCAUGAUUCUUUCUACACCAAAGUGACCAGAGUGAAUGGUAUAUGGAUGCUAAGAAAAAAUCACACUAAGGGUUUUAUGAGAUUUAUGUGGACUAACUUGCUGUUGGGACUUCUUCUCCUUGGGGCUUACUUGUCUUUUCAAUUGUGGCUAAAAUUCUAUUCAUAUCCUAUUUUAAAUACAAUUGGAACAGAUCUUUCAAUCACCGAUGUUGCAUUUCCAGGCAUAACUGUAUGCAGCCCUAAGGUUGUAAACUUCGAAAAAGUUCAACAAUACGUUAGGAAAUUAAUAAUUCCUGACGGGUUUGAAUACCAUGAUGUAUUGGAAGGAUUGGAUUUUAUUAACGCGUAUUUACCGAUCAAAAUUGGGUAUCUAACAAUGCUAGCUUUGAAGCAACGGACAGUGUCAUUGCUUUCAACAACAUAACCAUCUAUGAAGCUGCCUUUGAAGUGAGUGCCGGAUGUGAAGAUUUCUUUCAACAUUGCUUUUUGGGAGUCAAAGAGUUUCCAUGCAAACAAGAACAUGACUAUCUCUGUACUUUUUUACGUAAACAACAAAUCAAAAUGAAGCUUAGUCGAUUUGACUUCUGCCGUUCAGUUGAUUCGUGAGAAGAUGUUAAUUUUGCA
Molecule: RNA transcript, 2201 nt
Organism: Eupeodes corollae
Lineage: Eukaryota; Metazoa; Arthropoda; Insecta; Diptera; Syrphidae
Exons: 10
Source: RefSeq, a predicted model, not a curated record